Molecule: long non-coding RNA, 333 nt
Filed under: Vigna radiata
Lineage: Eukaryota; Viridiplantae; Streptophyta; Magnoliopsida; Fabales; Fabaceae
Description: long non-coding RNA (VRAD_LNC013338)
Source: RNAcentral
UAGAGGCUGAUUGAUGAUCGGAGAAAGAAAAGGGUGAGAAAUCUUAGAGAGAAGUUGUAGAAGUUUAGAGAAAAGGAAGAGAAAAUGAAGUUCUGAAGGUUGGAGAAGAAAAGUGCAUGCAGAAGAAGUGGCACCAGAUUUGGAAAUCCCAACUUAAAUAUCACCGCUAAAAACCGAACAGUCCGCUCUGCUGCAGCCACCUGUCCUCCACUUUCUGAAUUUUACACUCCCCAAAGCCACUUUGGAUCCCACUAAAUGAGAAAUUAAUUGGAUAUGACAGUUUGUAAUAUAGUUCGUUAAUUGGUAUUAGAGUUCUAUAUCUAUAAUUUGUAU